AAAAAGGCAAACCGUGGGUUCUCGUGCCAACGUUUCAUUGUCCGUCUUAUAUGAAAUUUUUUUUUAUAAUUACUAUUUUCGUUGUUGUUAGAUGAUAAAACAUGAUUAAUACUUUAUACAUGACUUAUCUUUUUAAUUUUUUUCAUAAUUUUUUUAAAUAAGACGGACGGUCAAACGUUGGACACGGAAACCAGGGUUUGUCUUUUU
Non-coding RNA from Oryza barthii, 207 nucleotides. The record is from Rfam. Lineage: Eukaryota; Viridiplantae; Streptophyta; Magnoliopsida; Poales; Poaceae.